This 429-nucleotide ribosomal RNA is filed under the name uncultured bacterium. RNAcentral's name for it is "bacterial SSU rRNA". It matches the Rfam family "Bacterial small subunit ribosomal RNA", at positions 926 to 1353 of the family's 1533-position model. The record is from RNAcentral.
GCACGCCCAUGGGGGCCGCGGGAAAUUUGUUUAAACGGGAAGAACCCUAACCGGUUCUUUGACUUAUUAUGCAAAUCUAAGAGAUUAGACGUUCCCUUUGGGGACAUGGAUACAGGUGGUGCAUGGUUGUCGUCAGCUCGGGUCGUGAGAUGUUGGGUUAAGUCCCGCAACGAGCGCAACCCUUAUUGUCAGUUGCCAGCAUUAAGUUGGGCACUCUGGCAAGACUGCCGGUGACAAACCGGAGGAAGGUGGGGAUGACGUCAAAUCAUCAUGCCCCUUAUGACCUGGGCUACACACGUGCUACAAUGGACGAUACAACGAGUCGCUAGACCGCGAGGUUAAGCUAAUCUCUGAAAGUCGUUCUCAGUUCGGAUUGCAGGCUGCAACUCGCCUGCAUGAAGUCGGAAUCGCUAGUAAUCGCGGAUCAGC